Molecule: non-coding RNA, 27 nt
Filed under: Homo sapiens (human)
Lineage: Eukaryota; Metazoa; Chordata; Mammalia; Primates; Hominidae
Source: RNAcentral
UACCCACGUGCCUGAUGGACAGGCCAA